This 423-nucleotide ribosomal RNA is filed under the name uncultured bacterium. Its description in RNAcentral is "partial 16S ribosomal RNA". It matches the Rfam family "Bacterial small subunit ribosomal RNA", at positions 359 to 774 of the family's 1533-position model. The record is from RNAcentral.
GAAUUUUGGACAAUGGGCGAAAGCCUGCUCCAGCAAUGCCGCGUGCAGGAUGAAGGCCUUCGGGUUGUACACUGCUUUUGUACGGACCGCACAGCUUUGGGUUCAUACCCUGGAUUCAUUACGGUACCGUAAGCAUAAGCACCGGCUAACUACCUCCCCGCCGCCGCGGUAAUACGUAGGGUGCAAGCGUUAAUCGGAAUUACUGGGCGUAAAGCGUGCGCAGGCGGUUUUGUAAGACAGAGGUGAAAUCCCCGGGCUCAACCUGGGAACUGCCUUUGUGACUGCAAGGCUAGAGUACGGCAGAGGGGGGUGGAAGUCCGCGUGUAGCAGUGAAAUGCGUAGAUAUGCGGAGGAACACCGAUGGCGAAGGCAACCCCCUGGGCCUGUACUGACGCUCAUGCACGAAAGCGUGGGGAGCAAACA